CCUACGGGAGGCAGCAGUAGGGAAUCUUCCACAAUGCGCGAAAGCCUGAUGGAGCAACGCCGCGUGGGUGAAGAAGGUCUUCGGAUCGUAAAACACUGUUGUUAGAGAAGAAAGUGCGGGAGAGUAACUGUUCACGUUUCGACGGUACCUAACCAGAAAGCCACGGCUAACUACGUGCCAGCAGCCGCGGUAAUACGUAGGUGGCAAGCGUUAUCCGGAAUUAUUGGGCGUAAAGGGAACGCAGGCGGUCUUUUAAGUCUGAUGUGAAAGCCUUCGGCUUAACCGGGGUAGUGCAUUGGAAACUGGGAGACUUGAGUGUAGAAGAGGAGGGUGGAACUCGAUGUGUAGCGGUGAAAUGCGUAGAGAUAUGGAAGAACACCAGUGGCGAAAGCGGCCCUCUGGUCUGUAACUGACGCUGAGGUUCGAAAGCGUGGGUAGCAAACAGGAUUAGAUACCCGAGUAGUC
Molecule: ribosomal RNA, 465 nt
Filed under: uncultured bacterium
Lineage: Bacteria
Description: partial 16S ribosomal RNA
Rfam family: Bacterial small subunit ribosomal RNA
Source: RNAcentral